This 776-nucleotide ribosomal RNA is filed under the name uncultured Neocallimastigales. RNAcentral describes it as "partial large subunit ribosomal RNA". It matches the Rfam family "Eukaryotic large subunit ribosomal RNA", at positions 23 to 634 of the family's 3401-position model. Lineage: Eukaryota; Fungi; Neocallimastigomycota; Neocallimastigomycetes; Neocallimastigales. The record is from RNAcentral.
AGAGAGAGACAUGCGCGCAUAUCAAUAAGCGGAGGAAAAGAAACUAACUAAGGAUUCCCUCAGUAACGGCGAGUGAAGCGGGAAGAGCUCAAAUUUGAAAUCUUCAAGGUUCUACCUUGACGAAUUGUAGUUUAAAGAAGUGUUUUCUGUUGAAGUUUCGGUAAAAGUUCUUUGGAAUAGGACAUCAUAGAGGGUGAGAAUCCCGUAUUUGACCAUUAUUUUCCAGCUGUGUGAUACACUUUCAAAGAGUCGGAUUGUUUGGGAAUGCAGUCCAAAAUGGGUGGUAAAUUUCAUCUAAAGCUAAAUAUUGGCGAGAGACCGAUAGCGAACAAGUACCGUGAGGGAAAGAUGAAAAGAACUUUGAAAAGAGAGUUAAACAGUACGUGAAAUUGUCAAAAGGGAAGCGUUUGACACCAGUGUUGUUUUUCUGAAAAUCAAUUAAAGAACUGUUUAUGCUAAGCUGUUUAGACUUUAUCAGCUAACUGUUUAGUUUUGAGCUUUUCUUUAAUGCACUUUUCAGUUAACAAGUCAACAUCAAUUUCUUUUGCUGUAAAAAAGCUUGAGGAAGGUGGCUUGAGAUUCGUCUUAAGUGUUUGUAGCCUCUUGCCUACGCAGUCGGAGAGAUUGAGGUCCGCAGCGUAGAUCCUUCGGGGCUAAAUGCAUUUGUGCUAAGUUAUAGCAUUUUAUAGACAACUUGUUGACUAUGAUUUGUCUUGUAGCUUACUCGCUUAUGUUAUUUUACCUACGCUUAGGAUGUUGAUAUCGCGCUCUCACUG